RNAcentral lists this ribosomal RNA (490 nucleotides) under uncultured bacterium. RNAcentral's name for it is "partial 16S ribosomal RNA". It matches the Rfam family "Bacterial small subunit ribosomal RNA", at positions 30 to 507 of the family's 1533-position model. The record is from RNAcentral.
AUUGAACGCUGGCGGCAGGCCUAACACAUGCAAGUCGAACGGUAACAGGAAACAGCUUGCUGUUUCGCUGACGAGUGGCGGACGGGUGAGUAAUGUCUGGGAAACUGCCUGAUGGAGGGGGAUAACUACUGGAAACGGUAGCUAAUACCGCAUAACGUCGCAAGACCAAAGAGGGGGACCUUCGGGCCUCUUGCCAUCGGAUGUGCCCAGAUGGGAUUAGCUAGUAGGUGGGGUAACGGCUCACCUAGGCGACGAUCCCUAGCUGGUCUGAGAGGAUGACCAGCCACACUGGAACUGAGACACGGUCCAGACUCCUACGGGAGGCAGCAGUGGGGAAUAUUGCACAAUGGGCGCAAGCUUGAUGCAGCCAUGCCGCGUGUAUGAAGAAGGCCUUCGGGUUGUAAAGUACUUUCAGCGGGGAGGAAGGGAGUAAAGUUAAUACCUUUACUCAUUGACGUUACCCGCAGAAGAAGCACCGGCUAACUCCGUG